Molecule: RNA transcript, 2110 nt
Organism: Trifolium pratense (red clover)
Lineage: Eukaryota; Viridiplantae; Streptophyta; Magnoliopsida; Fabales; Fabaceae
Exons: 4
Source: RefSeq, a predicted model, not a curated record
ACAAAUAUGACAUAUUACACAUCAUGUUUACAUCUGACGAGCAUAUGUCAGAUGUAAAAGGCUAUAUGGAGUAGCCUUUUCAUCUGGCUUCAAUAUCCACAGAUGUGAAAAAUAAAUAGAAAAGACUUUUUACAUCUGACUUCAAUGUACCAGAAGCAUAACUAAACGCGGUGGCAAUACUGUAAUUAUCUCGAAAAUUGUCUAAAAUAAAUAUAUAUCUGGGCAAAUAUAUCCUCAGAUGUAACAAGUCAGGUUGAGUAAAUAAAAAAAAAAAAAAAUUGGAACCAAAUAAUUGAUUCAAGUGCAAAACACUCUCAGACGCGUACCUACACUCAAAUAUAACACUCUCUCUCUCGAUGUCAAGAACAAAACCGAAGAACAAACCCAAACCCUCGAUUCGUCUCGAUUCCUCUCUCGAUUCGACAAUCUCUCACUCUCACUGUCACUCGUCCUCUCUCACUCAUUCUCUCGAUCUCGAUUUCGUCCUCUCUCUCACAGUGGUUCUCUCGAUCUGGAUCUCGAACCCUAAGCCCCAAAUCGAAGCUCAGUGAAACAAAUUGAAGCUUCUCUCAGAUUGUUAUCGUUCCUCUCCCUACAACUGAAAACACAAACAGAUGGUUCCAAGGAAUUUUGUUGAGAGAUAUUGGAAAGAUGUAUCAAAUCCAAUUUCCCUUAGACUUCCAAAUGAGUCUGUUUGUAAAAUGUUUUGGGUGCAAUUUGGUGACGAGAUUUGGCUUCAGGAUUGGAAAAGGUUUGCACGGUCGCUUAGAUGCGGAGAUCUUAAAGUUUUUCAAUACAAAGGAGGAUCAGAUUUUCAUGUCAUUAUACUUGAUGAUAGUAAACUAGAAAUUGACUAUUCAAGUAUGAUUUGCAACGAUAAACAAGAAGCUAAAGAGAGUGAUGAUGAUGGCUAUGUUGAGAUUACAAAUGAGGCUGAUAAUACCAAACAAUCCCUCAAGAAAAAGAAAAUCAACUCAAAUGAUAGUGAUACCACUACUGCUACAACUCAAGUGACAAACAUUGUCAAUAGAAAAAUUAAUACAAAGGCAACCCAGCAAAAAGUCUCAGGCAAGUUAAUAUACAUCCUUUUACUUAUAUAGCUAUUCAUCGGUAAAAUAUGUUUUUAUUUGGUCCCUAUAUCUCAAAUUUUGUUUUUAGCCUUUCUAUCCACUUUUCAAUCUAUAUAGCUUACAAGUUUUUAGGCUGGAACUAAUUUACUUAUUUUCAAGAUGUGAUCUUUAUUUUGUACCUUUAAAGUUUUAUAGAGGCUAAUGGAACCAGAGGAGGCAGCGGUAAGAAAGCUAAGAAAUGCUCAAAAAUUGUAGAUGCAAAUAAGAGAAGCUGCACUGAUGCUCAUCCUAAUGAGAAUCCCUAUUUCACUCUUAAAUUAUCGCCAUCUUAUGCGGAAGCUGAUAAAUUAAUCUUGGAUUUUUAAACCUUGUUGAAGGAGAAAAACAAAUUCAAACCUGGAUGUUUUCAAGAAGGAGAAAGACAAAUUCAAACCUGGAUCUAAGGUAGAAGAAAAUUAAGGGUUGUUUAAGAACAAGUGGAGUGGCAGCAAAAGCUGCGUUUCUGUUACUAAACAGCUCGUCUAGUGAGAAGCAUCAUCGCCUAGCGACGACAGCAGCGUGCUCUGCCUCUGUAUGUUGUUCUUUCCCCUAUCCAACCAUUCUUGAUCGUAGGUAAGCAAACUCAAGCUCUUUUCCUUCUCUCUAGGAUUAUUCUAUUCUUUUGGUGUUAGAAAUAUCACUAAUCUCAUUCUUGGUAAUUAUAUGUGGCUUGUUUGGAGAAAGAGGCUGUGAUUGAAGUAUUUGGAGCUGAGAAUUGAAUGAAAAUGGAAGGACAUGGCCAUUUGGAGAAAGAAAAACGCAGAUUAUGAUGUUGCCGAUGAUGAGGCUUAGGAGCUAGCUAGGUUAUGAAUUGCGAAACAGCUGGGUAACUUGUUUUCUUGACCUAUACAAUCCCGAGGUAGAUUAUGAUGUUGCCGAUGAUGAGGCUUAGGAGCUAGCUAGGUUAAUUUGUGUGAUGUUACAAUGGAUUCACAUUAAUUAUGAUGUUUUGAAUUGUAAUGACUUGUAUUUUGCUUGAAAGUUAUAACAUUUUGGAUGAA